GACGAACGCUGGCGGCGUGCUUAACACAUGCAAGUCGAACGGAAAGGCCCUGCUUUUGUGGGGUGCUCGAGUGGCGAACGGGUGAGUAACACGUGAGUAACCUGCCCUUGACUUUGGGAUAACUUCAGGAAACUGGGGCUAAUACCGGAUAGGAGCUCCUGCUGCAUGGUGGGGGUUGGAAAGUUUCGGCGGUUGGGGAUGGACUCGCGGCUUAUCAGCUUGUUGGUGGGGUAGUGGCUUACCAAGGCUUUGACGGGUAGCCGGCCUGAGAGGGUGACCGGCCACAUUGGGACUGAGAUACGGCCCAGACUCCUACGGGAGGCAGCAGUGGGGAAUAUUGCACAAUGGGCGGAAGCCUGAUGCAGCAACGCCGCGUGCGGGAUGACGGCCUUCGGGUUGUAAACCGCUUUCGCCUGUGACGAAGCGUGAGUGACGGUAAUGGGUAAAGAAGCACCGGCUAACUACGUGCCAGCAGCCGCGGUGAUACGUAGGGUGCGAGCGUUGUCCGGAUUUAUUGGGCGUAAAGGGCUCGUAGGUGGUUGAUCGCGUCGGAAGUGUAAUCUUGGGGCUUAACCCUGAGCGUGCUUUCGAUACGGGUUGACUUGAGGAAGGUAGGGGAGAAUGGAAUCCCUGGUGGAGCGGUGGAAUGCGCAGAUAUCAGGAGGAACACCAGUGGCGAAGGCGGUUCUCUGGGCCUUUCCUGACGCUGAGGAGCGAAAGCGUGGGGAGCGAACAGGCUUAGAUACCCUGGUAGUCCACGCUGUAAACGGUGGGUACUAGGUGUGGGGUCCAUUCCACGGGUUCCGUGCCGUAGCUAACGCUUUAAGUACCCCGCCUGGGGAGUACGGCCGCAAGGCUAAAACUCAAAGGAAUUGACGGGGCCCCGCACAAGCGGCGGAGCAUGCGGAUUAAUUCGAUGCAACGCGUAGAACCUUACCUGGGUUUGACAUGGAUCGGGAGUGCUCAGAGAUGGGUGUGCCUCUUUUGGGGUCGGUUCACAGGUGGUGCAUGGCUGUCGUCAGCUCGUGUCGUGAGAUGUUGGGUUAAGUCCCGCAACGAGCGCAACCCUUGUUCACUGUUGCCAGCACGUUAUGGUGGGGACUCAGUGGAGACCGCCGGGGUCAACUCGGAGGAAGGUGGGGAUGACGUCAAGUCAUCAUGCCCCUUAUGUCCAGGGCUUCACGCAUGCUACAAUGGCUGGUACAGAGAGUGGCGAGCCUGUGAGGGUGAGCGAAUCUCGGAAAGCCGGUCUCAGUUCGGAUUGGGGUCUGCGACUCGACCUCAUGAAGUCGGAGUCGCUAGUAAUCGCAGAUCAGCAACGCUGCGGUGAAUACGUUCCCGGG
RNAcentral lists this ribosomal RNA (1343 nucleotides) under uncultured bacterium. RNAcentral's name for it is "16S ribosomal RNA". It matches the Rfam family "Bacterial small subunit ribosomal RNA", at positions 28 to 1378 of the family's 1533-position model. The record is from RNAcentral.